This 993-nucleotide unclassified non-coding RNA is filed under the name Mesorhizobium loti. RNAcentral's name for it is "partial contains 16S ribosomal RNA, 16S-23S ribosomal RNA intergenic spacer, and 23S ribosomal RNA". The stretch from base 254 to 327 matches the Rfam family "tRNA". Lineage: Bacteria; Pseudomonadati; Pseudomonadota; Alphaproteobacteria; Hyphomicrobiales; Phyllobacteriaceae. The record is from RNAcentral.
UUCCUCGUGAAGCCUCUGCCUUCUGGUUUACUUGGAACAAGACGGAAGAGAGUCACUCUUACCGUCGCGCAUACCUUAAGCGGGUCUGCCGCCUUCGUUUCUCUUUCUUCAGCGAAUGACUUUGACUUGCGCUCGCGCGCCGUACCGGCCUUCGGCCUGGCGCUCCGCGAGGGCGCGGCACAAGCCGCGACGGCCGGUUGGCCUUGCGAGACUUGCGUCUCGUUGGCGAGAGCCGAUUAACGGCGCAGUCUUAGGGCUUGUAGCUCAGUUGGUUAGAGCGCGCGCUUGAUAAGCGUGAGGUCGGAGGUUCAAGUCCUCCCAGGCCCACCACUCCGGUGCAACCCGAAGGGUUGUCACUUCGCAAUCCGCAAGGAUUGUCGGAUCUCCUCGAUAUCUGUCGGGAAAAUAAUCAGGGGCCGUAGCUCAGCUGGGAGAGCGCCUGCUUUGCAAGCAGGAUGUCGUCGGUUCGAUCCCGUCCGGCUCCACCACUCCGGCGCAAUCCGCAAGGAUUGUCGCUUCUUCCCUCGGGAAGAAAGGUGUCGAGUAGAGAUGGAGAGAAAAAGUCAUUCGUAAAAAGGUUUGCGGGGAGCUUCUUGGCUUUCCCGCCUGUUCUGUUUGACAUCGUAAAGAGAAGAUUUGUUCGAACUUCAUGAGCUUGAAAAGGUUUGUGAUUUGUCGCGGGAGACGCUCAAUCUCCCGCAUAUGAUGGGCUUGCCUAACCGCACCCUCGAACCGAUCUCGAGAAGCUGGUCUUUUUGUGCCAAUGACAUCGAAUUGGAUCCCGCACAGGAUCCGGUUCAGGCGACAAUUCCUUCGGAAUUGCGCGGACGCUAAUCCCGUGAGGGAGAGGCUGAAGCGACAAUCCUUCGGAUUGCGCAGGUGGGCAUUGGCAAUGAGAACGAUCAAGUGUCUUAAGGGCAAUUGGUGGAUGCCUUGGCAUGCACAGGCGAUGAAGGACGUGAUACGCUGCGAUAAGCUACGGGGAGGUGCGAA